GAUGAACGCUAGCGGCAGGCUUAAUACAUGCAAGUCGAGGGGCAGCAUGACUGUAGCAAUACAGUUGAUGGCGACCGGCAAACGGGUGCGGAACACGUACAGAACCUUCCUUCGAGCGGGGAAUAGCCCAGAGAAAUUUGGAUUAAUACCCCAUAGUAUAUUUGAAAGGCAUCUUUUAAAUAUUAAAGAUUUAUCACUUGAAGAUGGCUGUGCGGCUGAUUAGGUAGUUGGCGGGGUAACGGCCCACCAAGCCUGCGAUCAGUAACUGGUGUGGGAGCACGACCAGUCACACGGGCACUGGGACACGGGCCCGACUCCUACGGGAGGCGGCAGUAAGGAAUAUUGGUCAAUGGACGAAAGUCUGAACCAGCCAUGCCGCGUGGAGGAUGAAGGUCCUCUGGAUUGUAAACUUCUUUUAUAUGGGACGAAAAAAGGCUUUUCUAAGUCGUCUGACGGUACCAUAUGAAUAAGCACCGGCUAACUCCGUGCCAGCAGCCGCAGUAA
This 504-nucleotide ribosomal RNA is filed under the name uncultured bacterium. RNAcentral describes it as "partial 16S ribosomal RNA". It matches the Rfam family "Bacterial small subunit ribosomal RNA", at positions 28 to 523 of the family's 1533-position model. The record is from RNAcentral.